RNAcentral lists this ribosomal RNA (476 nucleotides) under uncultured bacterium. RNAcentral describes it as "bacterial SSU rRNA". It matches the Rfam family "Bacterial small subunit ribosomal RNA", at positions 28 to 514 of the family's 1533-position model. The record is from RNAcentral.
GAUGAACGCUAGCGGCAGGCCUAAUACAUGCAAGUCGAACGGUGUCUUCGGACAUAGUGGCGCACGGGUGCGUAACACGUAUGCAACCUACCUUACAUUGGGGGAUAGCCUUUCGAAAGGGAGAUUAAUACCGCAUAAGACAGUAGCUGGGCAUCCAGCAGCUGUUAAAGAUUUAUCGAUGUAAGCUGGGCAUGCGUCCAAUUAGCUAGUUGGUGAGGUAACGGCUCACCAAGGCUUUGAUUGGUAGGGGAACUGAGAGGUCAAUCCCCCACACUGGCACUGAGAUACGGGCCAGACUCCUACGGGAGGCAGCAGUAGGGAAUAUUGGGCAAUGGACGCAAGUCUGACCCAGCCAUGCCGCGUGCAGGAUGAAGGCGUUAUGCGUUGUAAACUGCUUUUAUACAGGAAGAAACGACUCUUGCGAGAGGCAUUGACGGUACUGUAUGAAUAAGCACCGGCUAACUCCGUGCCAGCAG